UGACCUAAGGUGUAAUGGUAACACAUCUGAUUUUGGUUCAGUCGUUCUAGGUUCGAAUCCUUUAGGUCAACCA
RNAcentral lists this transfer RNA (73 nucleotides) under Aquirufa nivalisilvae. RNAcentral describes it as "Cytophagaceae bacterium 59G-WUEMPEL tRNA-Gln". It matches the Rfam family "tRNA". Rfam says of the family: Transfer RNA (tRNA) molecules are approximately 80 nucleotides in length. Their secondary structure includes four short double-helical elements and three loops (D, anti-codon, and T loops). Lineage: Bacteria; Pseudomonadati; Bacteroidota; Cytophagia; Cytophagales; Flectobacillaceae. The record is from RNAcentral.